Patella vulgata (common limpet) is the source of this 1932-nucleotide long non-coding RNA. RefSeq lists it as uncharacterized. NCBI's taxonomy places the organism in Eukaryota, Metazoa, Mollusca, Gastropoda, Patellidae. The transcript is spliced from 5 exons. The record is from RefSeq and is a predicted model, not a curated record.
GGAUUAUACUUCAUACACUACCAAAUGCAUGACAACUAUCAAAAGAUAUAACUAUUAAGUUGAUGCAAUUUUCAAAAAGCUAACACGAAGUAUAAAAACAAUUUCAGGGGUUCAGAAACAAGAUCGAAGCGUAAAGUAAACUUUGGGCUAUUUAUCUACGUUUAAAUUUACUGGUUCAACUUAUUGCUCUUCGUGUGGUUUAAUAUAGACACAAGACUUAGACUAUAUUUGUGAACCACUGUGGCCAGUCAAGAAUGAUGGUGUUUUCUAUACCUGACGUAUAACCACGAAGAUUGAAAGUAAAUCGCCAAAGACCAGGCUACUUUGUUAUCUUUAAAAAAUUAGCGUAGAUUUCAAACUUGUCACGUGUUUUGACAUCACUUGUCAAUCAUACUAAUCCACUGCAUUUACCAUUAAAAACAAACGUUUCCAAGAAAACCGAAAUACAAGAAGAAUGGUUCUUUUUUAAACAAAAGCCACAAGUUUAUUAUGUUAAGUUUUGCGUUGGAAAAUAUGUAGACUGUGUGUUUAUUUGUGAUUUAAAAAAAAACAACUUCAAUUUUGUAAAGGAAAAUGGCGUAUCUGAUAUUACUGAAGAUUAUUAUGUUACAAAUGCUUCUACUUGAAGCUAAAUGUGACUUAUCUCUAGCACCAAUGGAUGGGGAGUGUUCAGUUGAUGAUGGAUUGGUACCAAAUAUGACUUCAUGUCAAGAUUUUCUAAUCUGUUUACAAGGUCGAGUAAGACGUCGUGUUCGAUGUGCCAGCGGUCUAAUGUUUGAUGCUAGUAUUGCAAUGUGUAAUUAUGAAAAUGUUGUAAAUUGUGGUUUCCGACCUAAAACUGGUAGUAAGAAGUGUUAUACAGCCAAUGUAAAUGUAACUAUUAAAGCGGAGAAUCUGGCUAUACAACCAAUAUUUCUAAUUGAGACUAAUAUCCAAGCUCCACGACAACCAUUAUAUAACUUUUUAUUAAUGGCUGCCGGUAAAGAUAAAAGAUUUAGUUUUAAGACCAGAAAAGUCGACAAUUAUGGUGAAUUUGUUUCGUCUAUAAAUGGUUUAGAAGGCAGAGAAGCGGACUAUUCUGGCUGGGUUCCUUCAGAUAAAAGAAACAAUCAGAUUAGUAAAGGAAUUCAUGAAGUUUUCCCGGAAGAUGGAGAAGUCAUAACUUUCAAAUUUUACUCGUUUGCUGGGAAUUUGGCGGCGUUGAAGAAUUUACCAGGUCUUGCACCCAAACUGAACAGGAAAUAAAUAAUUAAUCAUACAAUGUGAACGUAGAAUCUUUAUAUAAUGAACUAAUUGCUGUUGCCGAGAAUAUCAAAUGCCAACAAAAUCGAAUUUUCCUGUUUCCGUUCCACUGGGAAAUGACUGACACGCAAUAACCAAUCCCCUUUCCGUGAUAUGAUAACAGUGUUCAAUUGUCACUAUGGGCCGAUCAACUUUAGAACGUGUUGCUGCCAUUACAUCAUAAAGUCUGCCGAUUAAAUAUGCAUUAUGUUAAGAUUUAGAUAAAGAGCUGGUCGCCCUUGCUAUAUAAUAGGUCAAAUGUAGAUAAUGAACAAUGGAUAUCAGAAUUUCAGUCAAAUUACUUUAUUCUGGGCGAAGUUAUGAGUAUUUGAAAUUUUGACAAGAUUGUCUCGAUUGUCAAGUACCAUUUCUACGAUAAUAAACAGUCCUGAUUAUCCAUUUCAACGUUCAAUUUUUGUAUGGCCAUGCUGCUCUAAACAAUUCAACUAAAGAGUUUAUUAUGGGCUUGCGAUGUGAAAAAAUGCCUUAUUUAUAAUUCAUAUAACAUUUGAAGCCCCACAAAAAAGCAGAUUUAGCUCUUUUAUAAUGGUUUAUUAACAUCAAAAACAGAUAUCAAAGUUUAAAUCAACUGUUUAUUAAUAUUUGUAAUUGUAUAAUAUUUGUAUUAUGUAAUAAAUACAUGGAAUGGGG